RNAcentral lists this ribosomal RNA (253 nucleotides) under uncultured bacterium. RNAcentral's name for it is "partial 16S ribosomal RNA". It matches the Rfam family "Bacterial small subunit ribosomal RNA", at positions 524 to 776 of the family's 1533-position model. The record is from RNAcentral.
UACGUAGGGUGCAAGCGUUGUCCGGAAUUAUUGGGCGUAAAGAGCUCGUAGGCGGUUUGUUGCGUCGGCUGUGAAAUCCCGAGGCUCAACCUCGGGUCUGCAGUCGAUACGAGCAAACUAGAGUGUUGCAGGGGAGACUGGAAUUCCUGGUGUAGCGGUGAAAUGCGCAGAUAUCAGGAGGAACACCGAUGGCGAAGGCAGCUCGCUGGGACGUGACUGACGCUGAGACGCGAAAGCGUGGGGAGCAAACAGG